UCAAGAAUCUUCCUCAAUGGCCGAAAGGCUGAAGGAGCGACAUCGCGUGCAGGAGGAAGCCCUUCGGGUGUAAACUGCUUUUCUCUAGGAAGAAACAAUGACGGUACUAGAGGAAUAAGGGGUUGCUAAACUCGUGCCAGCAGCAGCGGUAAUACGAGUACCCCGAGCGUUAUCCGGAUUUAUUGGGCGUAAAGCGUGCGCAGACGGUUUAUAACAUCUCCUGUUAAAUCCCAAGGCUCAACCUUGGGGC
RNAcentral lists this ribosomal RNA (250 nucleotides) under uncultured bacterium. RNAcentral's name for it is "partial 16S ribosomal RNA". It matches the Rfam family "Bacterial small subunit ribosomal RNA", at positions 355 to 621 of the family's 1533-position model. The record is from RNAcentral.